UACAGAGGUGGCAAGCGUUGUUCGGAAUUACUGGGCGUAAAGGGCGCGUAGGCGGCCAUCUAAGUCAGACGUGAAAUCCCCCGGCUUAACCUGGGAACUGCGUCUGAUACUGGACGGCUUGAGUGCGGGAGAGGGAUGUGGAAUUCCAGGUGUAGCGGUGAAAUGCGUAGAUAUCUGGAGGAACACCGGUGGCGAAGGCGGCGUUCUGGACUGCAACUGACACUGAGGAACGAAAGCCAGGGGAGCAAACGGG
Molecule: ribosomal RNA, 253 nt
Filed under: uncultured bacterium
Lineage: Bacteria
Description: partial 16S ribosomal RNA
Rfam family: Bacterial small subunit ribosomal RNA
Source: RNAcentral